UACGAGGGGGGCGAGCGUUGUUCGGAAUUAUUGGGCGUAAAGGGUGCGUAGGCGGUUUGGUAAGUCUUAUGUGAAAUCUACAGGCUCAACUUGUAGUCUGCAUGAGAAACUGCCGGGCUUGAGUAUGGGAGAGGUGAGUGGAAUUCCUGGUGUAGCGGUGAAAUGCGUAGAUAUCAGGAGGAACACCUGCGGCGAAAGCGGCUCACUGGACCAUAACUGACGCUGAUGCACGAAAGCUAGGGGAGCAAACAGG
Molecule: ribosomal RNA, 253 nt
Filed under: uncultured bacterium
Lineage: Bacteria
Description: partial 16S ribosomal RNA
Rfam family: Bacterial small subunit ribosomal RNA
Source: RNAcentral